This 468-nucleotide ribosomal RNA is filed under the name uncultured bacterium. RNAcentral describes it as "partial 16S ribosomal RNA". It matches the Rfam family "Bacterial small subunit ribosomal RNA", at positions 28 to 507 of the family's 1533-position model. The record is from RNAcentral.
GACGAACGCUGGCGGCGUGCUUAACACAUGCAAGUCGAACGGAAAGGCCCUGCUUUUGUGGGGUGCUCGAGUGGCUAACGGGUGAGUAACACGUGAGUAACCUGCCCUUGACUUUGGGAUAACUUCAGGAAACUGGGGCUAAUACCGGAUAGGAGCUCCUGCUGCAUGGUGUGGGUUGGAAAGUUUCGGCGGUUGGGGAUGGACUCGCGGCUUAUCAGCUUGGUGGUGGGGUAGUGGCUUACCAAGGCUUUGACGGGUAGCCGGCCUGAGAGGGUGACCGGCGACAUUGGGACUGAGAUUCGGCCCAGACUCCUUCGGGAGGCAGCAGUGGGGAAUGUUGCACAAUGGGCGGAAGGCUGAGGCAGCAACGCCGCGUGCGGGAUGACGGCCUUCGGGUUGUAAACCGCUUUCGCCGGUGACGAAGCGUGAGUGACGGUAAUGGGUAAAGAAGCACCGGCUAACUACGUG